UGGCGCGUAGCUCAGCGGUGAGAGCGGCGUCCUUAUAAGACGCAGGCCGAGGGUUCAACUCCCUCCGCGCCGA
Molecule: transfer RNA, 73 nt
Filed under: Rhodopirellula sp.
Lineage: Bacteria; Pseudomonadati; Planctomycetota; Planctomycetia; Pirellulales; Pirellulaceae
Description: tRNA-Ile
Rfam family: tRNA
About the family: Transfer RNA (tRNA) molecules are approximately 80 nucleotides in length. Their secondary structure includes four short double-helical elements and three loops (D, anti-codon, and T loops).
Source: RNAcentral